AAACUAACAAGGAUUCCCCUAGUAGCGGCGAGCGAAGCGGGAAGAGCUCAAAUUUAUAAUCUGGCACUUUCAGUGUCCGAGUUGUAAUCUCUAGAAGUGUUUUCCGCGUUGGACCGCACACAAGUCUGUUGGAAUACAGCGGCACAGUGGUGACACCCCCGUACACGGUGCGGACGCCCAGCGCUUUGUGAUACACUUUCGAAGAGUCGAGUUGUUUGGGAAUGCAGCUCAAAUUGGGUGGUAAAUUCCAUCUAAAGCUAAAUAUUGGCGAGAGACCGAUAGCGAACAAGUACCGUGAGGGAAAGAUGAAAAGCACUUUGGAAAGAGAGUUAACAGUACGUGAAAUUGUUGGAAGGGAAACGCUUGAAGUCAGACUUGCUUGCCGGAGCUUGCUUCGGUUUGCAGGCCAGCAUCAGUUUUCCGGGGUGGAUAAUGGCGGUUAGAAGGUAGCAGCUUCAGCUGUGUUAUAGCUUUCCGCUGGAUACAUCCUGGGGGACUGAGGAACGCAGCGUGCUUUUAGCGGGGGU
Molecule: ribosomal RNA, 527 nt
Filed under: Rhodotorula paludigena
Lineage: Eukaryota; Fungi; Basidiomycota; Microbotryomycetes; Sporidiobolales; Sporidiobolaceae
Description: LSU rRNA
Rfam family: Eukaryotic large subunit ribosomal RNA
Source: RNAcentral